GCUCAAUGAUUUUUUAAAUUGCUGUGGUAUUUUGACUAUACGAAGGUAUUGAAAUAAGGCUUUAAAUGAGUGCUAAGAGAAUGGUUUAACAAUUAUAAGCUUUCUUUAUUUUAAAAAUUUGAAUUUAAUAUUUUUGUGAAGAAGCAAAAAUUAAAAUUAGGGACAAGAAGACCCUAUGAAUUUUAAUUAAAUUAUUCUAAAAAAGAAAUAAUUUAAUUUAAUUGGGGUGAUGGAAAAAGAAUUAGUAUCUUUUUAAAAAGUAAUUUGUUCCGAUAUUAUCGAUUAUAUGAAAAAAAUACUCUAGGGAUAACAGCGUAAUAAUUUUGGAUAGUUCUUAUAGAUAAAAUAGUUUGCGACCUCGAUGUUGGAUUAGGAUUCUUUUUUGGUGAAGAAAUUAAUAAAAAGAAGUUUGUUCAACUUUUAAAAUCCUACUUGAUCUGAGUUCAGACCGG
Molecule: ribosomal RNA, 452 nt
Filed under: Ixodes acutitarsus
Lineage: Eukaryota; Metazoa; Arthropoda; Arachnida; Ixodida; Ixodidae
Description: partial 16S ribosomal RNA
Rfam family: Bacterial large subunit ribosomal RNA (bases 131-452)
Source: RNAcentral